Oncorhynchus tshawytscha (Chinook salmon) is the source of this 1377-nucleotide long non-coding RNA. NCBI's taxonomy places the organism in Eukaryota, Metazoa, Chordata, Actinopteri, Salmoniformes, Salmonidae. The record is from Ensembl.
AUUCAUUACCCUUUUCUAUUCCCCGUGCAGACAAAUCAAUCCUCCGUGUGCACCUUCACACAAAGCAGGCCCUAUUGACUUUCAUGACUGAAUCUUUCAUCUUUCCCCUGUUUGUUUGUUUGCCCGUCUGUGAGCAAGGUCUUUAUAUUGUGUAACAGAAAUACCUUGUGGAAUAGAGGUGAAACUUACAUGGGCUUUUGAAUCAGGGGCAUUUCACACAAACACUCCAUUAUCUUAUUUUUUAAAGGUGACGUUAGCAUUACUGAUUAUCUUAUUUAUUUAUUUAAAGGUGACGUUAGCAUUACUGAUUAUCUUAUUUAUUUAAAGGUGACGUUAGCAUUACUGAUUAUCUUAUUUAUUUAAAGGUGACGUUAGCAUUACUGAUGAUCUUAUUUAUUUAUUUAAAGGUGACGGUAGCAUUACUGAUUAUCUUAUUUAUUUAUUUAAAGGUGACGUUAGCAUUACUGAUUAUCUUUUUUUUUUUUUUUAAAGGUGACGUUAGCAUUACUGAUUAUCUUAUUUAUUUAUUUAAAGGUGACGGUAGCAUUACUGAUUAUCUUAUUUAUUUAUUUAAAGGUGACGUUAGCAUUACUGAUUAUCUUUUUUUUUUUUUAAAGGUGACGUUAGCAUUACUGAUUAUCUUAUUUUUUUUUAAAGGUGACUGUAGCAUUACUGAUUAUCUUUUUUUUUUUUUUAAGGUGACGUUAGCAUUACUGAUUAUCUUAUUUAUUUAUUUAAAGGUGACGUUAGCAUUACUGAUUAUCUUAUUUAUUUAAAGGUGACGUUAGCAUUACUGAUUAUCUUAUUUAUUUAUUAUUUUAAAGGUGACGUUAGCAUUACUGAUUAUCUUAUUUUUUUUAAAGGUGACGUUAGCAUUACUGAUUAUCUUAUUUAUUUAUUUAAAGGUGACGUUAGCAUUACUGAUUAUCUUAUUUAUUUAUUAUUUUAAAGGUGACGUUAGCAUUACUGAUUAUCUUAUUUUUUUUAAAGGUGACGUUAGCAUUACUGAUUAUCUUAUUUAUUUAUUUAAAGGUGACGUUAGCAUCACUGACGUCACCGUUGCUCCCGGGCCGAUAGUCUGAAAACAUUGUGCCGUCUGACGUUAAGACUAUAUAUUGACAAGCCCUGUAAUCCAUUUGGAAAUAUAAUGAAAUUGAACCCACACAUGUACUGACAUGCUGAUUAACUUCUUGUCUGGUCACAGUAUUCAUUGAAUGAGGCAUAUCUACACUGAACGAGGCAUAUAUCUACACUGAACGAGGCAUAUAUCUGCACUGUGAAUGAGGCAUAUAUCUACACUGAACGAGGCAUAUAUCUGCACUGUGAAUGAGGCAUAUAUCUACACUGUGAACGAGGCAUAUAUCUACACUGAACGAG